GUCCAGUUCCAUUACCUUCACUCCAAACCUCUUCACUCCUCUCCAAUUCAACAUCCUUCGGCACCGUCACCACCAGCUCUCCGUCACUAAACUCCGCCGUAGCAAGCUCCGGCACCGUCUCCUCCGGCAAUCUAAACCGCCACAAAUCCAGCUUCAUCUCACUAACCUCACCACCACCACCACCACCACCGCCGCCGCCGCCACCGCCACGUGUCGUUCUCACAACAACUUUCGUGACACCAGGACAGAUCUCAAUCGUAUGAGCAGCAAUAUCCGUUCCGAUAUCAUCCUCCGUAUCAACAACAAAUCUAAACGAAUCUGACGUUUCCUGAACCGUGACGUCAGCGUCGGAGUAAAACGGAAGCUCGAGGACUUUACCGAAGAUGUGCGGCAGUCGCCGGAGCUUCUUUUGGCGGCAGAUUGAGCCGGUGGCAGUGGAUUGAGCGGCGAAAUCGUACCGGACGGUGAUGUUACGCUUGUGUGGAGCUGGAUGAACCUUCAUAGUUGUUUGAAAUGGAGAAAUUGUAAACCCUAGGUAACUGAUUGAGUGAUUUGAAACAGAUCUUGAUACAGAUCGGAAGGAUGAUGAUAAGGAUUUGUGAAAGUGAGAGUGGAGGAAAAGGUUGAAAUGAAGUUCCAUGAAAGUUACAGGUAAGAUUGGAGAAGGUAACAACACGGUAAUAGUGGUUAUGUAAUUCUUUAUUAUUCUUUUUACAUUCUAAAUACGCGUUAAAUAUGUAUUUUGAAAGGAUAAUGAUUUUUUCAUGAGUAUAUAUAUCUAUAGGGUGAAUCUACUAAAAAUGGGUUUUUAGGGGGGACGGAGUGGAUGCGGGGAGUGGGGUUGCCGCACGAGGAUUGAUACCGGGUAGUGGAUCGGUGAGUGGGGAGUAGGAGAGAAGAGGUGUAAUCGGUGAGUAUUCACCGAAGGUGAAGAAGAAGAAAUAGAGGAGAGAGAGGAGAAAGGAGAUAGAGAACCAAUCAAUUUUUUUUUUUAAUUGAGUGAGUGUUUAAAUCAUUCGGCUAGGGAUGACAAAAAAGCCAAGCCUGACAGGUAUACCCGAAACCCGAAACAUACGGGCCGGGUAUACCCGAAGCCCAAUGGGUAUGGGCCGGGUACGGGCUUAAAAAUAUAAAAAAAUUCGGGUAUGGGUGCGGGUAUGGGAUUUAGUGAUACCCGCUCGAUAACAUGCCCAUUUACCCGAAUAACACCCGAAAGUAUCAUAUUAUAGAUUUUUAUACAUAUAAACUUAGUACAUGUAUUUAUUACUUUCUCUAUAGUCAUAUGUGGAUAUGUAUUUGGCGAAGUGUUUAGUGAAGAUAUAACUUAUUUUUGAGCAUGUAUAUUAGAUAUGAAAGAUAUCACCCUUUAUUAUGCGGAUAUUUUAUACAAUUAGGUGGUCCUGAUACAAUUAGUUAAUUAAGUAAUCGUUUUAAUUUAGUUUAGUAUAUGUGGUCUGAAUAUGAUAUGUAAGUUAUUAAGCAUAUUUUCAUUUGUUAUAGUUAUUAAAAUAGUAAAUUAUAUAAACAUCAAAGUAAAAAUUGCACAUUUGUCCCAACGGGUAUUUUUAAGAAAUUAACAGGUAUACCCGAUACCCGACGGGUAAUUACCCGAAAAAUAUCCGACGGGUAACGGGCCGGGUAUGGGACAAAGAGUUAUAACCUGGUACGGGCCUGAGAUUAUCAAUACCCCGCCCAAGACCGGCCCAUUGCCAUUCCCUAAUCAUUCCUAGUGUUUGAGUAGAAAAUGGGGAGUGAAGAGGGGGGGUUGACAUGACAUGAGAUUAUUGGAUAGAGAAAACUCAAACACCCUAAAGUGUUUGAAUCAUACCCUCCACCCUUAUAGGUAACCUAUUUUUUUUAAAUGAUAUGUGACACUUCUUUUAAAUAGGAUAAAAGAGUAUUUUAUACUAAAAAUAGACUGACCUUUUUAUUUUCUCAAAGUACAAAAUUAAA
This 1953-nucleotide long non-coding RNA is filed under the name Helianthus annuus (common sunflower). Its description in RNAcentral is "hypothetical non coding rna". The record is from RNAcentral. Lineage: Eukaryota; Viridiplantae; Streptophyta; Magnoliopsida; Asterales; Asteraceae.